Long non-coding RNA from Ornithodoros turicata, 839 nucleotides. RefSeq lists it as uncharacterized. NCBI's taxonomy places the organism in Eukaryota, Metazoa, Arthropoda, Arachnida, Ixodida, Argasidae. The record is from RefSeq and is a predicted model, not a curated record. The transcript is spliced from 3 exons.
ACGAGCUCGCUUGGACAGUACGCUUGCAGCCACGCCAAAGAAGAAGAAGAAGUCUCCCUCCAUUUACAUUGGGCGUCCAUGGAAUGGAACAAAUGAUGGCUAUUUUCUAACAGAUCGUCUUCUGCUCACCUUCCGUCAUGAGUGAGUCACAUCAGCGUCGUGGCCAACGCCAAUUCCUUGGGAUAGCAUAAUCCAAAUUCACAAUACACCGGAGCACCGAGGCAAUUCGGGAAUUUUUCCGGACAAUUCCAAAUACCCAAUGUGGGGAUCCCACAAGGCAACAUCCCAGCACCCAACCGGGCGCCAGCUUAUUAUGGCAAUGUUGCUACGCCGAUGUUAAACGUGGAACCGCCUCCAGUGCCACUUAUACAUGCACCCUCAAUGGCUCCGUAUAUGACACCUUUUAGUGUUGUGGGAGCUCAGACAGCGACGCCUGUUGUCACAGCGGCACUACCAACAUAUGUGCCUCUCCAGCAACCAUGUGUUCCACAAUUUGUUGUAACGCAGCCGGUGGGAUGCCAUGAAAACGACUACAUGGCCGGCCUGCUUACUGGCAUGGCACAUGCCGACUCUGUGCAUCACGGCCAUCAUGACAUUCAUCACGACAGCCAUCAUGGCCACCAUGGUCACCACCACUAGGGUUGACGUUCAAAAAUACGGUUCAUUCGGCAACGAUACCGUUAUUCUGAUGCACUAGACGUGACAGGGCAGGAUAAAACCGGAGAAGUUGGAUACUGCUACUCCAGGCAUAGCUCACGAAAGUUCGAAGGCUCAGUGUCCGGAUGACACUGUUUUUGCUGCCUAAUAUCAAUAAACAGUCAUUAGGGGAAGAACUUCGA